RNAcentral lists this ribosomal RNA (497 nucleotides) under uncultured bacterium. RNAcentral describes it as "partial 16S ribosomal RNA". It matches the Rfam family "Bacterial small subunit ribosomal RNA", at positions 28 to 507 of the family's 1533-position model. The record is from RNAcentral.
GAUGAACGCUGGCGGCGUGCCUAAUACAUGCAAGUCGAGCGAACGGACGAGAAGCUUGCUUCUCUGAUGUUAGCGGCGGAUGGGUGAGUAACACGUGGAUAACCUACCUAUAAGACUGGUAUAACUUCGGGAAACCGGAGCUAAUACCGGAUAAUAUUUUGAACCGCAUGGUUCAAAAGUGAAAGACGGUCUUGCUGUCACUUAUAGAUGGAUCCGCGCUGCAUUAGCUAGUUGGUAAGGUAACGGCUUACCAAGGCAACGAUGCAUAGCCGACCUGAGAGGGUGAUCGGCCACACUGGAACUGAGACACGGUCCAGACUCCUACGGGAGGCAGCAGUAGGGAAUCUUCCGCAAUGGGCGAAAGCCUGACGGAGCAACGCCGCGUGAGUGAUGAAGGUCUUCGGAUCGUAAAACUCUGUUAUUAGGGAAGAACAUAUGUGUAAGUAACUGUGCACAUCUUGACGGUACCUAAUCAGAAAGCCACGGCUAACUACGUG